This 425-nucleotide ribosomal RNA is filed under the name uncultured bacterium. RNAcentral's name for it is "partial 16S ribosomal RNA". It matches the Rfam family "Bacterial small subunit ribosomal RNA", at positions 354 to 796 of the family's 1533-position model. The record is from RNAcentral.
GUAGGGAAUAUUGGACAAUGGGGGCAACCCUGAUCCAGCAAUGCCGCGUGAGUGAUGAAGGCCUUAGGGUUGUAAAGCUCUUUUACCCGGGAUGAUAAUGACAGUACCGGGAGAAUAAGCUCCGGCUAACUCCGUGCCAGCAGCCGCGGUAAUACGGAGGGAGCUAGCGUUGUUCGGAAUUACUGGGCGUACAGCGCGCGUAGGCGGCUAUUUAAGUCAGAGGUGAAAGCCUGGAGCUCAACUCCAGAACUGCCUUUGAGACUGGAUAGCUAGAAUCCUGGAGAGGUGAGUGGAAUUCCGAGUGUAGAGGUGAAAUUCGUAGAUAUUCGGAAGAACACCAGUGGCGAAGGCGGCUCACUGGACAGGUAUUGACGCUGAGGUGCGAAAGCGUGGGGAGCAAACAGGAUUAGAAACCCCAGUAGUCC